This is a non-coding RNA of Populus trichocarpa (black cottonwood), 136 nucleotides long. Lineage: Eukaryota; Viridiplantae; Streptophyta; Magnoliopsida; Malpighiales; Salicaceae. The record is from Rfam.
GCACUCAAAUGUGAUGAAAUUAUCACAUACCUACUCACUGGUCUAGGACCUGAGUAUGAUUCUCUUAUCACCACCAUUUCAAUUAAAGAAAAUGUCACCUUAGAAGAGGUGUACUCUAUGCUGCUCAUUUGUGAGG